UAAUGUUUGCAUAGCAAGCUGUUUCAGCUUCAAGACUCUAGGAAUUAAGAUCUGAUCAGAAUUCAGCUAAAGGGCAGUUAUUUUCAAUAAAGACUGAGGCAGAACAAGAUAUUGCAUGCUUUUGAGAUUAAAAUUCGAUAAUGGUAUCGUUACUAACGCUUGUGAUACCAAAUUGCUACUUUUACAGCCUCAUUUUUUUUUUUAAAAAAAGCUACAUUCUCGAACAACUUUUCUACUUUCCAUAUGCCUCCUGCCCACCUUUAAUUUGGCAACAGAUAUCUCAUAAGUAACACAGCUAAGGGAGAAUUUUAAAACGCGUCUUUUAAAAAUCAAGUUAAAGGCGGCUGUGUAAGUGCUAAGCACAGAGAGCAUGCACCCGAUUCCUUAGUGUGCCCUCAAGCCUGACAAAAGCACAAGGAACAGUUUGAUACACUUUUAAAAAGUUUCUGAAAACAAAGCUGUUUAUGGAUCAUAUUUCUCUUGAGAAAAGGAUAGCAACAGAAUAUAUUGCUUUCAUUGAUAAGUAUUUGUAGUACAUAUGGUUUUAUUUUAUUUUACUUACUAAUUCUUAUUCUCUAGAAAGCUGUCUCCCCUAUGGCAAAGUGAGUUCUUCAUGUCUCCUUGUUAUUGUGUGCACAUCUGCAGCAUAGCCCAGUUUGAAAUAUUUAUCUGGUUGUCAGCCCUCCACAGAGGCCUGCAUCUUACCAUGCCUCCCAACCUCCAGACCACACAGGGACUUGGAAGCACAGUUUCUUUAAGCACCUUGUAUGAAUAUGGAUGAGAUUAGACCAGCCCCUCUCUUGCUUCUACUUACAUGGCUUGAAGAUGAUGAAGAUGUGGUUCUGCCAGUUUUACCACAUUCUUUCUUUCCUGGUCCUCUCAGUGUUGAGCCUUACAACACUCAGGGAAUUAGGAAGAAGAUUUUUUUUUUUCCAAAAGAGUUAGUGGAAAUUCAAGAGUUGUACCUCGUUUUCAAGUUCAUCCAUCUCCAAUGGAAUGUUUUUAAUGAAAAGAUAAAGAAAAUGGAUAUGAUCUUCAAUAGCACAUCCCUAUAGAAAGUGGAUGUGGUUUAUACCAAAAUCAUAAUUCAGAUAUAUAAAAAAGGUGCCUUUUUAAUUGCCCUUGUUUAUCCAUUAUGAUCUUAGAAAGAAAACUAAGCAAGCAAGCUUCUGCCUAUUCUAUAGUAAUAUUUUAUUAUAUGAUUCGUAUUUUUGUGGUGGGGAAGUGGGAUGCUCCUGACAGAUAUUAAAGGUGGUAGCUGAUUGUAUUUUACCUUUAAAGGUUUAGAACUUUAUAAAAUGCUGACUUCUGCUAUCUAUUUCUGAAACAUUCUUUGUGGAUUUAUAUAUAGUUAAGAUGUAAUAAAUGCUAAUUUGGGGAUUUAAAAUAUCUAUUGUAAGAUAGAAUGAUUAUAUUAUGAGACUGAAUUCACUACAUAAGAUGAACUCCAUAAGUUAAUUAUACUUUUGCAUCUGAUAAUCUGAAAGUGACUAGACAGGGGUUGUUUGGGGUCAUAUGACAUGAUGAUGAUAAAACUUUAGCUAAGUAAGAAACUAGGUAAACUAACUUAGGGAUGCUGAAACGAGAAUCUCUUUCUGAAGUAUUCCAUGCCCUUUAAGACCCUUUUGAGCAACUAUUGAUGAUCAAAAAAGUCAAGACAUUGUAUGAUUUUUUUAUUUUUUUAUGGUCAUCAUUCCAUGAAACUUAGACUCCUGGAAUCCACAAACCUGGAAGGAUCCCUGGCACGUAUUCUCCCUGGUUGUCCAUAUUACUUCAGUAUAUUCAUGGGAAUUUCAUAGGCUCUUUUGUGUUUGAUAUGUGGUAUCCAGUUUGCAUAGUAUAAACUGUAAUCCAAUUGUUGUUAAGAAUGAUUUACUUUAAUGAGAAAAGAGAAAACUGCUCCCCAGGCCCAUUCCUGAGUGUCCCUACCAUGAAUAGCUGAGCAUUUUGGAAGCAGCACCCAGUAUGUAAUGGGCAUGAUAUGUGUGGAAUUGUCGGUCUGUGAUAUAAAUGCACAUUUAAUCAUUGUGUAGCUUGACUCCUGAUUGCUUCAAAAUAUGUAGUGUUAUGGUGGAUUAAUUUGUGAGAUUGUACUAACUUUGAGAGCAUAACAGUUGUGAAGGAAACAAUGGUUUUCAAAUGAAGGGGCUUACAGAAUGAUAUGAUGUUAUUAAUAUAGUUUGGCUUUUGUUAUACAAAUUGUUAACACCAGCUAUUAAAAUAUAUUUUAGUAGAAAGGCUUUAAUCAUGUUUUUUUCCUCUACACUGUGAAUCUUUUAAGCCUUGGUGGACUAGAGAAACAUUGUGCUGCCCAAAGGACUAACCUAUGCAAACGAGUUCACAUUUCAAUGGAUGUCACAGUAAAUGUGUAACAAGACAUACUUUCUCCUGCAUUGAAAUAAUACAUUAAGCCUAGCCUCCAAUAUGUAUAGUGUAGUCACUCACAAACCGACCAUACUCAUUUAGUAUUAGUAUUUGUUUCAAAGUAAAUCUCUUGUUUCAAAGUAAAUCUAUCGAAACUACUUGAACAAUGUUAGAAUAAAAAUGACAAACGGGUGUAUGUUGGCCAUGGGUCCCUGCAAGUGGUCUCUGAUGGUAGAACUGUGUUCUCACAUGCACUCUCUUUAGGGUCUAAAUAUUCUGUUUCCUCUUUCUGUAUUUGUAAAACAUUAUAAUGCAUUAAUUUCCUAUUACCCAUUUGGUUUGCUUAAAUAAAUGCAGGAUAUAACAAAAUGGUUCUACUUCUUGACUGUCACCGUGGUUUCUCGGAGCACAAGUCACUAGACACAGGGUCACUACCGAACCCGACUAUAGCCUGGGUAUUGGGUUUUAAACUCGUGUUAAACUGCAUCAAAGCUGAAUGCUGGUUUGGGCCAGUCAUUUCAAAUAUGCCCCCCUUCCCCAACCCAGAAUGAACUUAGUUUUAGGUGAUAAUAAUAUGAAAAAGCUUGAAAAAGCUUAGUAUCUUACUGAUUUCAUAUCAAAGUACUACAAUCAUGCAUCAUUGUAGUUAACUUCUUUCAGGAUUGAAUUCCUCACAUGUCCUCACUAAUACAAUUCUAAUUUUCUUGUUUUCGUAAGAUGAAAGAAACAGCUUGGAGCAAAAAAAAAAAAUGCACAAAUUGAAUACAUGAAGUGGAAAGAUACUCUGAUCUCUGCUAAAAAUGGCUCAUUUGUUGUAGAAAAUAAUUGCUUCCCUCCUCCAAUUUUCCCAUAGU
RNAcentral lists this long non-coding RNA (3218 nucleotides) under Marmota monax (woodchuck). Lineage: Eukaryota; Metazoa; Chordata; Mammalia; Rodentia; Sciuridae. The record is from RNAcentral.